CAAUAGCGUAUAUUAAAGUUGUUGCGGUUAAAAAGCUCGUAGUUGGAUUUCUGCCGAGGACGACCGGUCCGCCCUCUGGGUGUGUAUCUGGUUUGGCCUGGGCAUCUUCUUGGAGAACGUAGUUGCACUUGACUGUGUGGUGCGGUGUCCAGGACUUUUACUUUGAGGAAAUUAGAGUGUUUCAAGCAGGCACACGCCUUGAAUACAUUAGUAUGGAAUAAUAAGAUAGGACCUCGGUUCUAUUUUGUUGGUUUCUAGAGCUGAGGUAAUGAUUAAUAGGGAUAGUUGGGGGCAUUCGUAUUUAACUGUCAGAGGUGAAAUUCUUGGAUUUGUUAAAGACGGACUACUGCGGAAGCAUUUGCCAAGGAUGUUUUCAUUGA
Molecule: ribosomal RNA, 380 nt
Filed under: uncultured eukaryote
Lineage: Eukaryota
Description: partial 18S ribosomal RNA
Rfam family: Eukaryotic small subunit ribosomal RNA
Source: RNAcentral